Molecule: ribosomal RNA, 465 nt
Filed under: uncultured bacterium
Lineage: Bacteria
Description: partial 16S ribosomal RNA
Rfam family: Bacterial small subunit ribosomal RNA
Source: RNAcentral
GACGAACGCUGGCGGCGUGCUUAACACAUGCAAGUCGAACGGAAAGGCCCUGCUUGCAGGGUACUCGAGUGGCGAACGGGUGAGUAACACGUGGGUGAUCUGCCCUGCACUUCGGGAUAAGCCUGGGAAACUGGGUCUAAUACCGGAUAGGAGCCAUUUUUAGUGUGAUGGUUGGAAAGUUUUUUCGGUGUAGGAUGAGCUCGCGGCCUAUCAGCUUGUUGGUGGGGUAAUGGCCUACCAAGGCGGCGACGGGUAGCCGGCCUGAGAGGGUGGACGGCCACAUUGGGACUGAGAGACGGCCCAGACUCCUACGGGAGGCAGCAGUGGGGAAGAUUGAACAAUGGGCGCAAGCCUGAUGCAGAGACGCCGCGUGGGGGAUGACGGCCUUCGGGUUGUAAACUCCUUUCGCUAGGGACGAAGCUUUUUGUGACGGUACCUAGAUAAGAAGCACCGGCUAACUACGUG